CUACGGGCGGCAGCAGUGAGGAAUAUUGCACAAUGGGGGAAACCCUGAUGCAGCAACGCCGCGUGGAGGAUGACGCAUUUCGGUGUGUAAACUCCUUUUAUCAGAGAAGAAAAUGACGGUAUCUGAUGAAUAAGCUCCGGCUAACUCCGUGCCAGCAGCCGCGGUAAUACGGAGGGAGCAAGCGUUACUCGGAAUCACUGGGCGUAAAGGACGCGUAGGCGGGUUUUCAAGUCAGGUGUGAAAUCCAAUGGCUCAACCAUUGAACUGCACUUGAAACUGGGAACCUAGAGUAUGGAAGGGGCAGAUGGAAUUAGUGGUGUAGGGGUAAAAUCCGCAGAUAUCACUAGGAAUACCUAAAGCGAAAGCGAUCUGCUGGGACAUUACUGACGCUGAGGCGUGAAAGCGUGGGGAGCAUACAGGAUUAGAUACCCGCGUAGUC
This 439-nucleotide ribosomal RNA is filed under the name uncultured bacterium. Its description in RNAcentral is "partial 16S ribosomal RNA". It matches the Rfam family "Bacterial small subunit ribosomal RNA", at positions 339 to 795 of the family's 1533-position model. The record is from RNAcentral.